RNAcentral lists this long non-coding RNA (445 nucleotides) under Olea europaea subsp. europaea. The record is from RNAcentral. Lineage: Eukaryota; Viridiplantae; Streptophyta; Magnoliopsida; Lamiales; Oleaceae.
GCUCAUCCAACCAAAACAUGUCUAUUGGAUAAAUAUAGGUGGACCUCCAUUGUCAUUUAGAUUGAUACUAGAUAAUUGAUGCUAAAUAGCAUUAUUCUUAUUUAAUAUAGGGAAGAUGUGUAAAACAGAAUCCUUGGCAAUGGAAAUGCCCUCUUCCCCUAACCAACACAGGGGCUAGCUUGAACUCUUGAAAAAUGCCUGUAUUUUAAGCAUUUUUCAAUAAAAUAGUAUCAAAGAAAAGCGAUUCCAUACUUGCCAAUUGACCAAUUUUCAUUUUCUCUCCCGAAUUUGGUCCAUUGUCUAACUUGCUUAUUCCAGAUAUAUGUUGUCAAACUAUUUAUAAUCAGAGAAAAUUUCGUAAAUAAUGCUGAUUUUCAAAGAUUUAAACAGAAAAUAAGAAUUCAUUCUUUUUCGUGACCAUGGGGACAGCGGUGGUGGUGGUGGU